AGGAAGCGGAAGACUAAUGACCGAAGCUUCAAGACUUUGACAUGUGUGAAAACAUGAAAUGACCCUUGGCUCUUAUUGUUCUUGCUGGUGUGGUAUGUUCACGGCUGAAAAGAUGGUCAGAAGGGGAAAGGAGGAAGUGAGAAGAAAGAAACAGGGAAAUGACAGAGUGUUGCUCAGUUACCCAGGCUGGAGUGCAAUGGCAUGAUCUUGGCUCACUGCAGCCUCCACCUCCUGGGUUCAAGCGGUUCUCGUGCCUCAGUCUCCCAAGUAGCUGGGAUUACAGACGAAAUCUUGCUCUGUUGCCCAGGCUGGAGUGCGAUGGCAUGAUCUUGGCUCACGGCAAACUCCGCCUCCCUGGUUCAAGUGAUUCUCCUGCCUCAGCCUCCCGAGUAGCCGGGAUUACAGGCAUGUGCCACCAUGCCCCGUUGGCCAGGCUGGUCUCGAACACCUUACCUCAGGUGAUCCUCCCACCUUUGGGAUUACAGGAACUGACUCAGCGCAAGAAGACAGCUUCGACUCCUUGUGAUUUCAUCCCUAACCAAUCAGCACUCCUGGCUCACUGGCUUCCCCCAACCCACCAAAUUGUCCUUAAAAACUCUGCUCUCCAAACGCUGGGGGAGACUGAUUUGAGUAAUAAUAAAACCCUGGUCUCCUGC
Homo sapiens (human) is the source of this 656-nucleotide long non-coding RNA. Ensembl annotates it as PCED1B antisense RNA 1. Its record names the gene PCED1B-AS1. NCBI's taxonomy places the organism in Eukaryota, Metazoa, Chordata, Mammalia, Primates, Hominidae. The record is from Ensembl.